Long non-coding RNA from Parus major (Great Tit), 2704 nucleotides. RefSeq lists it as uncharacterized. Lineage: Eukaryota; Metazoa; Chordata; Aves; Passeriformes; Paridae. The record is from RefSeq and is a predicted model, not a curated record. The transcript is spliced from 4 exons.
GUGAAAUGAGAAAAACAAGCUGCUUGUAUAUCAUCAGGAAUGAGCCCUAUGUUAUGCUUAAUAUUUUCCAGAGACAAAUGUGGUGACAGACUUAUCAGAAACGCUGGCUGAAAUUAAGCUGUUGGUCCAAACAUCCUCAUCAUCCUUUAUCCUAAAGCCAAAGCAAAAAUGAGAUGUCCCAGUGGGUGUGGGCCAUGGUCUCAGCACUGGAAGCUGCACUCUUUCCCUUCAAGCUGGAGGCCCUCUAUACCAACCGGAUGAAGACAUUUCUUCUGUGCAGUCUGUGGCAGUCCAAAAACUGAUUUCCUCUUGGAGUUUCCAGUGAAAUUGUUGUGCCCUCAGAGUGUAGCUAAGUGAGCUCAGGUAGCUGCUCUUCCAGAACUGUGGAUUCUCUGCAAGCUAAGCUCAGGCAAGGAAGGCCAAUAGCAGGAAAGGAAAACCUGCUGCAAACCCAUCUGAAGGCAAAGGGCUGGGACCUCUGGCUGGCAGCAACUUACAGGAAUGCCACUGUCAUUUUGUUUGCAGUGAUUAAAGAUGAGCAUCUUAGCCCUGUGCUAAGGGAUUUCUUGCCUUUGAAACACAUUUAGUUAAUUAUUGCAUCCUAAUUCACUUUCUACUGUGGAAUAAGCCUUGCUGUGGACAGCAGAGCAUAGGAAGCACAAGAUGGUGCUUUUCUGUGUCAAAGCUUCAACUCUGGCAUCACUUUUUUGCAAUGUUAAAUCACAGAAUCCACAAGGGAGAUGCUAUAAUAGCAAAAUGCUGUUAAAAAUGAUGAUGUAUUUUAUAAGGGCUUCAAGCACCUCUCAUAAUAUUUGCAGAUAAUCUCAGUUUUCCGAUUUGUCAAGGCAUUAUUCUCCAUCUGUGAUAGCCAGUGAUAGCCAAAGAGAUUUUUAAUCCAUUUUUAUCAACAUUAGUGAGUUCAUUGCAAAUAUGUCGAAAAAACAAAAUGCAAGCAUUAAAAGCAGUAUGAGGACAACAUAUUGUUAUUCUAGCAUGGGCUCAAACCUGCACAACUGCAAAUUAAAAUGUCGUGGUCUUUGUGAGGUGCUCCCACCCAGGGAGGCAACGAUUUAGCUUCAGAUAAGCACUGUUAAAGUGAGAGGCGUGGCUUUAAAGCCUCCCAAGAGGGAAUUCCAUCCUCUGCCUCAGCCUCCCUGGCCAUGAUGCUGCAGCCCCAGAAUGCAACAAAUGGUGGAGAAUGUGGGCAUCCAGCGAAGCACCAGGAGAACAGCAGGACCGGCUCCAGACACCCCAUAAGUCCCCAGCUGAUGGCUUGAGAGCCGGCGAGACCCCCGCCUUGGAAAGGAGGACUUGAGAGUACCUGGCAGGAGGGCCAGGUUGGGAGUGCCAUGGGCAUGGGGGAAAAGGGCUUAUGGGGGGGACCAAGACCAGGUGAUGGGACAAACAUCUCACAUCACCCAACGAGAUGUAUUAUGGAUGGUUUUAUUUUUUUUAUAUACAUGGGAAGGACCUUUAUGAAAGAUAUUAACACUAUGGACGAUUAUGGACGGUAUGGCUCUUCCUGUGGACUGGAUUUUGGCUUCUGUGAAGUCCCUCUUUUUUUUUUGGUGUCUACCUCCCCAUAUCUUCCCCUCUCCUUUGCUCCUAAGGGUGAAAAAUGCCAAGAUGGCUCAGGGUUGCUGCCGUCACCCCUGCUGUCACCCCUGUGUCUCUCUGCCAUCCCAUCCCCUGUCUUCCUGAAGGCAGGCAAGGGAGGGAGAACAUCCAGAGUGAUGUGGGGUCUGCUGCCGUCUGCCCGCCGUUCCGUGUCCUCCUUCACCCCCUGUCUUUCCAUAUUCCCCAUUCCCUGUCCAGGAAAAUGGAAAUAUCAUGCUGUCCUGGACCCACCCCCUUCCCAUGAUGGCCCUGGCCAUGCUGUCUGGGAUCCCUUUUUCCUGCCUUACUCCUGUUUUUUUGGUCCCCUAAGCUUUCCCUUCCCACAGUAACUUCUCCUCUGGUUCCACCCCUUUCUCUGGCUGCUCCACCUUGGGGGCUGUGUCGUUUCCAUUGUGGGCAGCACCUCCUCUGGGGAAAUCGGAACUGUAACCUGAGCUCUGAAGGCCAGCCUUUCAUCAGGACCGUCUGGAGUGGUGGCACCCACGUGUUUGGGACGGGAGCUGAGGCUGAGCACCAAAAACUCUGCCCCUUCUAAGAGGAGAUCAAAGAACUGCACCCUUCCUAAAGGAAAAUCAAGAACUGGAAGAGACUGAACUAAAAAAAACUUUGUUUUUAUUAACUACCACCACUGCUUAAUUUUCCUGGCUGUUGUCCGAGAACUAAGUGUUUGUUUCUAAUUUUGUUUUUGCUUGUUUGCUUAAUGUGUUUUGUUGUUGAGUGCUAGUGUCUUUAGUGUCCCACAAAGCAAGGCAGGUGCUUUGAGGUGGGGGAGGGAGGUUGGUUUUUCUAUGGUGUAAGUUUUAGAAACAUCCUAAGCUCCUAACAAAAUUUAAUUUAAAAAAAGGGGCAGUUGUGAGGUGCCCCUGCCCAGGGAGGCAAAAAUUUAGUGUUGCCCUGAGAAUCAGACCUUUUGAUAUUGUUUUCAUAAUUUUGAGCCACUUUCCCAGGAAAGUAACUAUAAACAUAAGUGUUUGUACAUUCCAUUAAAGAUACACUUUUUGAUGGAUGCCUCUCACGGCCAGUGUGGUUGGGAAGGUGGUAGCCUGACUAUCCAAUCCCUGGUCAUGGUCAGAAACCUAUAAAUACU